GCCGGUGUAGCUCAGUUGGUAGAGCAGCCGAUUCGUAAUCGGCAGGUCGGAGGUUCAAGUCCUCUCGCCGGCACCA
RNAcentral lists this transfer RNA (76 nucleotides) under Halorhodospira halochloris. Its description in RNAcentral is "tRNA-Thr". It matches the Rfam family "tRNA". From Rfam's summary of the family: Transfer RNA (tRNA) molecules are approximately 80 nucleotides in length. Their secondary structure includes four short double-helical elements and three loops (D, anti-codon, and T loops). Further hydrogen bonds mediate the characteristic L-shaped molecular structure. tRNAs have two regions of fundamental functional importance: the anti-codon, which is responsible for specific mRNA codon recognition, and the 3' end, to which the tRNAs corresponding amino acid is attached (by aminoacyl-tRNA synthetases). tRNAs cope with the degeneracy of the genetic code in two manners: having more than one tRNA (with a specific anti-codon) for a particular amino acid; and 'wobble' base-pairing, i.e. permitting non-standard base-pairing at the 3rd anti-codon position. The record is from RNAcentral. Lineage: Bacteria; Pseudomonadati; Pseudomonadota; Gammaproteobacteria; Chromatiales; Ectothiorhodospiraceae. RNAcentral also lists the same sequence under 7 other names.